Molecule: non-coding RNA, 74 nt
Organism: Danio rerio (zebrafish)
Lineage: Eukaryota; Metazoa; Chordata; Actinopteri; Cypriniformes; Danionidae
Source: Ensembl
AAGAACCGUGCCCGAAUGCUAAGGGGUCACUUUGAUGGAGUGAACCAUAGGGGUUAAAAUCCCCUCGGUUCUUA